CAAGGUUUCNCGUAGGUGAACCUGCGGAAGGAUCAUUA
This 38-nucleotide ribosomal RNA is filed under the name Saprolegnia delica. RNAcentral's name for it is "partial 18S ribosomal RNA". Lineage: Eukaryota; Oomycota; Saprolegniomycetes; Saprolegniales; Saprolegniaceae. The record is from RNAcentral.